This 1192-nucleotide long non-coding RNA is filed under the name Gallus gallus (chicken). Lineage: Eukaryota; Metazoa; Chordata; Aves; Galliformes; Phasianidae. The record is from RNAcentral.
AGCUGAAGGAUGCUGCGAGAGCACUCGGUAUUUCUUUGAGAGAGCCCUUUGCUGGACUCCUGGAAAACGUGUCUUGUGUCGCUUUUCUAAUCGUUGGAUGGUAAGAAGGUAGGAGGAACUGAACUUUGAGUGAGGAUCAAUUGCAUGCGAAGGGAACAACUGACCGGCGGAGCGUUCUCAGAGUUAUCUCGACGGUGCCCCGGCCUCGCCAAUGAAGAAUACCUCACUUAAAGGUGCAGCAGAACAGAAUUUCAGGGAGGUGCUGUGAUGAACGCCAUCUAUUCAGCUGGACGGGAAGCACACUAUUAUGUAUGGAUGACGUGACAGUAAGAAAUCUCACAAAAUUACCUCCCUUAAAAUAACAGUCACGCUUGAUCCCUCGUAGCUCGCUAGAAAGCCAUCUCAAGCCUCGGGAGAUCACGAGCCAGUUUUACAGUCGGCACGCUCUCUGUCCUUCCCACACCUUUCCAGAUCAGACAGGCCCACAUAACCAUUGCGUACGAACAACUACACAACGCUCAGUCAGAGUGGGAAAUACCACGAUAUUGGUAAGAUUCAAAGCUGUACAAGAACAACAUGUCAGUGCAACAGUAUAAUAGACAAGGACUUAUGAUUUUAUUGUACAAUUGAUUUUGGCAGGAUUUCAGAAGCUGUAUACAGUACAACAAAGAUAAUUACAAAAACGUGUUUGACAAUUAUUUGUUUUGUUUUAAAAUCCUUUAGCUGCCUGCUGCAUACCUACUGUACAACUACAUUAAUUUACAUUUCAGUAGCAGGCAAUGCCGAGCGUAUCCAUCACCAUCACAAUUGCUUGGAGAGGAUCCACAAUUUCUUGCGUGUUAUCUUUUCUCAAAACCCAGUCCGGUUUAAUUCUCGAAACUGUCUUUAUUCUUAGAGGAGUUAUCGGAAUAAAGGAAAUUCCACCAAUUACGGUGUUUGUCUUCUGUUUCACAAGCGUUCUCUCUGCAUCCAUUCUGCACUUGCGAACCGUAAGCUUAUAGAGGCUUUGAAUGCAUGUAACGACUCUGGGCAUGCUUCGGAUUUCCAAAGCUCUCUUUGAGUCCUUUGAAAGAAUGGCCAACAAACAACAAGUCUUCGUGAAAAUACUUCCUCCUUUUUCCGAAAUUUUGUCCCCAGCUUUCCCUCUGUAUGUUUGCAGCAGGUCUAGCAAUGUAUCUAUAGAAUUAUCUAC